Molecule: ribosomal RNA, 468 nt
Filed under: uncultured bacterium
Lineage: Bacteria
Description: partial 16S ribosomal RNA
Rfam family: Bacterial small subunit ribosomal RNA
Source: RNAcentral
GACGAACGCUGGCGGCGUGCUUAACACAUGCAAGUCGAACGGACAGGCCCUGCUUUUGUGGGGUGCUCGAGAGGCGAACGGGUGAGUAACACGUGUGGAAACUGCCCUUGACUUUGUGAUAACUUCUGGAGACUGGGGCUAAUACAGGAUAGGAGCUCCUGCUGCAUGGUGGGGGUUGGAAAGUUACGGCGGUUGGGGAUGGACUGGCGGGUUAUCAGCUUGUUGGUGGGGUAGUGGAUUACCAAGGCUUUGACGGGUAGCCGGCCUGAGAGGGUGACCGGCCACAUUGGGACUGAGGUACGGCCCAGACUCCUACGGGAGGCAGCAGUGGGGAAUAUUGCACAACGGGCGGAAGCCUGAUGCAGAAACGCCGCGUGCGGGAUGCCGGCCUUCGGGUUGUAAACCGCUUUCUACGGUGACGAAGCGUGAGUGACGGUAAUGGGUAAAGAAGCACCGGCUAACUACGUG